Long non-coding RNA from Anas platyrhynchos (mallard), 2987 nucleotides. RefSeq lists it as uncharacterized. The record is from RefSeq and is a predicted model, not a curated record. NCBI's taxonomy places the organism in Eukaryota, Metazoa, Chordata, Aves, Anseriformes, Anatidae.
AGAGGUGCUUGUGAAAGCCAUGGUGUGAUGCUGCCAAAGCAUCCCCAUUGGGACCCCUCUGCACACCCAGAAAGGGCACCAGCACCUCUCAGAGAUCAGCAGGACACAAAAAGGAUUUUGUAGACUUUAUGAAUUUUGUCCCAGUUGUGGCAGAGCAAUCAUUGUUUUCAGUGAUCCCGAUUUCAUCUGUGUAUUUACACUGAGGUUUAGUUUCCUUUGCAGCUGGACGACUACCUUGCACUAAAUACAUAUUUUUGUCAUACUUUUACAUGGGUUGUCCAAGAAGGAGACCCAACAAUUUCCAAUGCAACACGAAGCUGCAUCAAGGCGCCGCUUUGCAAGAGCGCUGUCACGCUGCCCCUGCCCACACGCGACGCUGCCUGGAAGCACAGCGCGAUAAAACCUCUCCUCGCUCUUCCUGGAGCCCCAUUGCCCAGCCAGGGGCUGCAUCAGGCUGUGUCACAGCAAACCUUUUCCGUAGGUUGUCCAUGAAGGGAACACAACAAUUUCCAGCAGAGUUUGAAGCUGCAUCCAAAAUGCUCUGGGUUGACAGCUCUCAAGAUUGAUGUUCCCUGUCUGUACAGCCCAGACAGCUGCUGUGCAGCCUUCCCCGUGCUAUUUCGCCUUAAUCCUGACUUCAAGCGAGCUCCCCCACGGAUAAGAGCAGAAUUCAGUUCCCCUUGUCCGCCCCAGCCUCGGUUUCUCUGCUGAGUGGUGGCACAAGUCUGAUAUUACCAUUGUUUUGCCAAAAGCUGGACAAAAAUCCCUUCCAAGGAGACUUCUGAGGAACCACAGCAUGGGCAGCAGCACAGCACCAGCUUGGGGCUUGUGCAGCCACAGGUUGUGUCCGUGAGGGUACACACGCCAUAAAAUACGUUUUCUUAUAAAAACAGGAGAUAACACCAGUAUAGCGGCUGCAUUAAUCUAAUAUUCUCCUUCAUCACCAAAAGGGAAUUGCCUAAAUAGCCUGGGAGAGGCACGUUUUAUGAGUUCUUCUUACGGGCUAUCAAUCAAACGUCCCAAGAAAGGCACUGAUGCCCUUUUUGCUCGCCGGAGGGAAAUCAGCUUCCCCACGGCUUUGCUUUCAGCCCGUGUAGCCCCGCAGGAUAAUAGCUGUGUUUCGGACGUUUUUGGCCAAGUUUUCCUCCAACCAAUCUGGAGGAAAAACCCACACGGAAGAAACCUGUCAGAAGAGAGGGAAAAGAGCCCAAUUAGAGGCAGCGAUGUCUUAGCUCUCUGCCCUCUCUCCCCCGUGGACGAAGCAGAUGUAAAACAAUAGCUGGAGUUGUGGGAAAUUUAAUUGGGGACUUCAAAGGAAGCGGCGGCAGCUCCUUUGAUCUUUCAGUGUGUCUGAAUGUCGCGUUGCAACGGUGCCUGCUGGUCACGGCGGUGACCUCUUGUGUUAAUUAGUGUUUAUCUGAAAUCGAAUUAGCUCACAACUGGGAGAAAGCAGAGCGAAAAUCAGAGGAUAAUCAUAGAUUUGUGCGAUUCUCAAUUAGAGGUAAAAGCGGGUCUUUGGCUGCAGAAGUUGACAUUAAAAUAACUCCGGGAACAGUACAUUUUGGCUUUGUUUUCCUAAUGCUCUUCGUCCGCUGGUACUAUUUCUCUUCCUAAUGCCCCGCGCUGCUUUCAUCUUUGCUGAGUCUGCUGCUCCGCGGUGCUCGUUGGAACUUAAACCAUAAACCAACAGCGAACAAUGAUGCAUUAUUUAUAGCAGAGCGAGUGCUGUGAGGCUGACAAUGGGGCAAAGCUCCUCUUUCUUGUGGUCAGUAAUCCAUAAAUAAAUACAUCAUCUACGGAGGGGUGCGGGCCGGUGUGAUGGGUGGGAAUAGCCUGCGCUGUACAGUGAGGGCACCGAGGAUGACGUGGAAGCCAGCGCCUGGUUUUGGUGCAAAUUGGCCACUUCUGAGCACUGGUGUUAAAAAUCUUCACCUGUACAGAGGUGUGUGAGCUGCCCAGCCACCUUCCCAAUGCCCUUCUGUGGGGCUGAGUGGAAAGAGGAGGGCAGUGAGGGUUUGUGGUGCAGGGAGAUAAAUGCAUUAAAAUGUCAUGUUCUCUGUCUCAGUGUGAAAUAUCAGAGAAAGGCAGGAUUUUGGAGCUCAAAUUAUCUCAAGAGGCCAGUAUACAGUCCCAGUGCCUGAGCAGAGAGUAGCCGGAGAUGUAGAAGUCAAACAUCUGUCCACCAGGAACAUCUGCAGAGCUUCAGCGUGUCGGACUGGAAUGAAAUCCCAUUCUCGGGCCAGAUCCAGGUCCCAAAGUCUCCGAAGUGCUUUUAGCCAAACCUUCCCUUUUGCUUGGAAGCCAGAUUAGGGCACCGCCAGCUACAAGGUGGCCACUGCCUUGUGCUGAUGUGUCCUGCACCACAUCAGACAGCAAGGUGCUCCAAAAACACCCCGCUGGCACAGCCCCGCAUCCCUGGGUGCUGGCUGCUCCAUUUUCUGGGGUCAGCCACAAGAGGGUGGCAUGAUGAUGCUCACCACGCAGCCUCCCUGCUUGCCGCCGCUUUGCUCCUAGCGUGGCAUUUUACAGCCAGCUCUGGAGACGUAAUAAAACUUCGGAGCAGGUCUUUCCUUUUGGCACAUGAACACGUUUCCCACUACAAAGGAGCCUGAGGGGUGUUUCUGACGGCAGCGCUGACGGUGCAGCGGUCCUUGAUGUUACACGUGUUCCUUAUGCCCAAACCCAAGCUCGGUUAGCAGGUAGCUCAGCAGCGCAUAAAAUUCAGCCUAUUGAGGGAUCCGAACUUUUAUUGGCCCUGCUGACUGCUGUUAGGAGAAGCCCACAGGUGUUCUUUAUGAGCAAAUAUUAUUUUUCAUAGUCUUGUCUGUUUACAAGGCGGUGAUGUUCUGUGCAAUGCUUUGUAACAUGUUGGGAUGUUUCUCGCAGACCUUUAUUUGAUUAUAGCUUGCGGUGAACAGGCUGGUUAACAAAUAUACACGCACAAAAAAAGACUCAUGUGACAGCAAGGGAGACUAACUUGAAUGAAA